Molecule: transfer RNA, 69 nt
Filed under: Ictidomys tridecemlineatus (thirteen-lined ground squirrel)
Lineage: Eukaryota; Metazoa; Chordata; Mammalia; Rodentia; Sciuridae
Description: Spermophilus tridecemlineatus (thirteen-lined ground squirrel) tRNA
Rfam family: tRNA
About the family: Transfer RNA (tRNA) molecules are approximately 80 nucleotides in length. Their secondary structure includes four short double-helical elements and three loops (D, anti-codon, and T loops).
Source: Rfam by way of RNAcentral
GGGGCUGUGGCUCAGUGGUAGAGCCCUUGCCUAGCAUGUGUGAGACACUGGGUUCGAUUCUCAGCACCA